This 301-nucleotide ribosomal RNA is filed under the name uncultured bacterium. RNAcentral's name for it is "partial 16S ribosomal RNA". It matches the Rfam family "Bacterial small subunit ribosomal RNA", at positions 512 to 810 of the family's 1533-position model. The record is from RNAcentral.
UCGCCACGGGAAUACGGAGGGUGCAAGCGUUAAUCGGAAUUACUGGGCGUAAAGCGCACGCAGGCGGUCUGACAAGUCAGAUGUGAAAUCCCCGGGCUUAACCUGGGAACUGCAUUUGAAACUGUCAGGCUGGAGUCUUGUAGAGGGGGGUGGAAUUCCAGGUGUAGCGGUGAAAUGCGUAGAGAUCUGGAGGAAUACCGGUGGCGAAGGCGGCCCCCUGGACAAAGACUGACGCUCAGGUGCGAAAGCGUGGGGAGCAAACAGGAUUAGAUACCCGAGUAGUCCCUGUCUCUUAUACACA